CUAUGUUCUAUUUUAAGCCAUAUCGGCCAUCUUGGUUGGUUGGCCAGGUCACCGGACACAUUUUUUAAACUAGAUACCCCAAUGAUGAUUGUGGCCAAGUUUGGAUUAAUUUGGCCAAGUAGUUUCAGAGAAGAAGAUUUUUGUAACAGAUUACUAAGAUUUACGAAAAAUGGUUAAAAAUUGACUAUAAAGGGCAAUAACUCCUAAAGGGGUCAACUGACCAUUUCGAUCAUGUUGACUUUUUUGUAAAUCUUACUUUGCUGAAC
This 266-nucleotide long non-coding RNA is filed under the name Mytilus galloprovincialis (Mediterranean mussel). Lineage: Eukaryota; Metazoa; Mollusca; Bivalvia; Mytilida; Mytilidae. The record is from RNAcentral.